Long non-coding RNA from Papaver somniferum (opium poppy), 1441 nucleotides. RefSeq lists it as uncharacterized. The transcript has 2 exons. NCBI's taxonomy places the organism in Eukaryota, Viridiplantae, Streptophyta, Magnoliopsida, Ranunculales, Papaveraceae. The record is from RefSeq and is a predicted model, not a curated record.
CAGUUGUUAGUGUGCAGUGUGUGUGCCGAGCACGUGUGAGACUGAUGUCGAGAGAAAAGAGAAUUGAGUACAUAAACUCGAAUCCGUCCUGUAAACAACCAUCUUCACUUAUUAAUCAAAUUGAUUACAAAUCGUUCUCAGUAAUCAUGUAGACAUUCGAUUUAUUGAAUGCUAACAUGGUAUCAGUCCUGAGAAAUCAAUUUCUCAGAAGUAUCGAUCCUAUCUUCCGGUGACUAAAUCUUAAAUUCUUUACCAAUUUCUUCUGCUGCUGUUGUUCUUCAUCAUCUUCAAUUCGGGUGAAGAUUCAAGGAGUUCGUAUGGAGAGUUGCUACUGGUGAUUACUUGGUGUGAAGUUUGAUUUGAUCCUGAUACUUACUGCAACGUCGUCAAUCAGGAUUAAGCAUGUAUUUUGGAUCUAAAAUUUAGUUUUAGGGUUUGAGCUCUUGGUUAUUUCGACUUCAUGUGCGGCGUUUGGAUUGAAAUCUCUUACCUCAUCAAAUAAAACUCGAAUCUCUGCUGUGAACAUGAAUCCCUCUUCUCUGUGUGCAAGAGCUGCUAAUAAUGAUAAAUUCCUACUUCUGGUUUGCUAUUUCUCUUGCACUGUCUCAAUCCAGAAAUACAACAUCACCUAUUUUUCCACAACAUGCAUACUUCUGAUUUCACAUGCUGCUUGGGGUCAUCUCACAGAAUUCUGGUUGCCUGUUGUUGCUUACUGUGAUGUGCUUGUGCGUGAACUGGUGCUGCUAAACUUGAAUAUUCUACAGUCAGCCUUGAUUGCAUUUUCCCUACUGUAUGCUCUCCUGCAACCACUCAUAAUGGCCCUAUUACACUGCAACUUCUGCUCCAAUUACAACUGUUGUUUCUUGUGCCACUGCCAAGUCUGUCGCGCUUUCUACAACACCUGGGAUAUUCUACAACUACUAUUCCAUUUUAGCUUCCUUUGGGAGAUUAAUGUUGUCCUUCAGAAUUUUCUUUCUCCAUUCUCUUUGUUACGGGCUGAUAUGAAUCUUUGUAGGGACGCUUUAUUGGUUGUUUCACCAAUUGCUACUCAUACUUCUAGUGCAGGUAUUUUUAUCUACAAAAAAGUUUCUUUCUGCAUCAAUACUGCCUCCUCCAACUGAACAUUCUACACCAACUGCAAUUCAUACUUCUUCCUACUAUUUCCCCAUUUAUUAUAAAUAAAGAGUGUGUGUGCUGGUUUGUGUGUGAGUGUGUCAGUUGUUAGUGCAAUCUCAUGUUGUCUUUUACAGACCACUUGAGAUUGAGGGAGGGUAAUAGAGUGUGUGUGAGUGUGUCAGUUGUUAGUGUGCAGUGUGUGUGUGCCGAGCACGUGUGAGACUGAUGUCGAGAGAAAAGAGAAUUGAGUACAUAAACUCGAGUCCGUCCUGUAAACAACCAUCUUCUCUUAUUAAUCAAAUUGAUUACAAAUCGUUCUCAGUAA